CCUACGGGCGGCUGCAGUGGGGAAUAUUGGACAAUGGGGGGAACCCUGAUCCAGCCAUGCCGCGUGUGUGAAGAAGGCCCUCGGGUUGUAAAGCACUUUCAGUGAGGAAGAACGCCUGGUGGUUAAUACCCAUCAGGAAAGACAGCACUCACAGAAGAAGCACCGGCUAACUCCGUGCCAGCAGCCGCGGUAAUACGGAGGGUGCGAGCGUUAAUCGGAAUUACUGGGCGUAAAGCGCGCGUAGGUGGCUUGGUAAGCCGGUUGUGAAAGCCCCGGGCUCAACCUGGGAACGGCAUCCGGAACUGUCAAGCUAGAGUGCAGGAGAGGAAGGUAGAAUUCCCGGUGUAGCGGUGAAAUGCGUAGAGAUCGGGAGGAAUACCAGUGGCGAAGGCGGCCUUCUGGACUGACACUGACACUGAGGUGCGAAAGCGUGGGUAGCAAACAGGAUUAGAUACCCCAGUAGUC
RNAcentral lists this ribosomal RNA (465 nucleotides) under Vreelandella stevensii. RNAcentral describes it as "partial 16S ribosomal RNA". It matches the Rfam family "Bacterial small subunit ribosomal RNA", at positions 338 to 795 of the family's 1533-position model. The record is from RNAcentral. Lineage: Bacteria; Pseudomonadati; Pseudomonadota; Gammaproteobacteria; Oceanospirillales; Halomonadaceae.